UGUAAUUUGCAGAGGAUGUCAUGAGAUUAGUGUGGACUCAAGUUCUUUGGAAAAAGACGCCAUGGAGAGUGACAGUCUCGUCCUGUCCAGCCNCUCAUCUCUCGUAUGACUCCUUCAAAGAGUCGAGUUGUUUGGGAAUGCAGCUCAAAGUGGGACGUAAAUUUGUUCCAAAGCUAAAUACCGGCUAGAGACCGAUAGCGCACAAGUAGAGUGAUCGAAAGAUGAAAAGCACUUUGAAAAGAGAGUUAAAAAGCACGUGAAAUUGUUGAAAGGGAAGCUUAUGUCAUCAGAAAUGACGUCAAUGUUCAGCCUUUUGGUGUAUUCAUUGGCCGUCAAGCUAGCAUCAAUUGGGAUAGUCGGAUAAAAGUGUCGGAAAUGUAGCUCCUCCGGGAGUGUUAUAGUCCGUCACAGAAUGCGACUAAUGCCGAUUGAGGACCGCUUUCAGGAUGCUGGC
Molecule: ribosomal RNA, 454 nt
Filed under: Cryptothelium purpurascens
Lineage: Eukaryota; Fungi; Ascomycota; Dothideomycetes; Trypetheliales; Trypetheliaceae
Description: eukaryotic LSU rRNA
Rfam family: Eukaryotic large subunit ribosomal RNA
Source: RNAcentral